GAUGAACGCUGGCGGCGUGCCUAAUACAUGCAAGUCGAGCGAACAGACCAGGAGCUUGCUCCUCUGACGUUAGCGGCGGACGGGUGAGUAACACGUGGAUAACCUACCUAUAAGACUGGGAUAACUUCGGGAAACCGGAGCUAAUACCGGAUAAUAUAUUGAACCGCAUGGUUCAAUAGUGAAAGACGGUUUUGCUGUCACUUAUAGAUGGAUCCGCGCCGCAUUAGCUAGUUGGUAAGGUAACGGCUUACCAAGGCAACGAUGCGUAGCCGACCUGAGAGGGUGAUCGGCCACACGGGAACUGAGACACGGUCCAGACUCCUACGGGAGGCAGCAGUAGGGAAUCUUCCGCAAUGGGCGAAAGCCUGACGGAGCAACGCCGCGUGAGUGAUGAAGGUCUUCGGAUCGUAAAACUCUGUUAUUAGGGAAGAACAAAUGUGUAAGUAACUAUGCACGUCUUGACGGUACCUAAUCAGAAAGCCACGGCUAACUACGUG
This 497-nucleotide ribosomal RNA is filed under the name uncultured bacterium. RNAcentral describes it as "partial 16S ribosomal RNA". It matches the Rfam family "Bacterial small subunit ribosomal RNA", at positions 28 to 507 of the family's 1533-position model. The record is from RNAcentral.